GUCGAGCGGCAGCACGGGUACUUGUACCUGGUGGCGAGCGGCGGACGGGUGAGUAAUGCCUAGGAAUCUGCCUGGUAGUGGGGGAUAACGUUCGGAAACGAACGCUAAUACCGCAUACGUCCUACGGGAGAAAGCAGGGGACCUUCGGGCCUUGCGCUAUCAGAUGAGCCUAGGUCGGAUUAGCUAGUUGGUGAGGUAAUGGCUCACCAAGGCGACGAUCCGUAACUGGUCUGAGAGGAUGAUCAGUCACACUGGAACUGAGACACGGUCCAGACUCCUACGGGAGGCAGCAGUGGGGAAUAUUGGACAAUGGGCGAAAGCCUGAUCCAGCCAUGCCGCGUGUGUGAAGAAGGUCUUCGGAUUGUAAAGCACUUUAAGUUGGGAGGAAGGGCAGUUACCUAAUACGUAAUUGUUUUGACGUUACCGACAGAAUAAGCACCGGCUAACUCUGUGCCAGCAGCCGCGGUAAUACAGAGGGUGCAAGCGUUAAUCGGAAUUACUGGGCGUAAAGCGCGCGUAGGUGGUUCGUUAAGUUGGAUGUGAAAUCCCCGGGCUCAACCUGGGAACUGCAUUCAAAACUGUCGAGCUAGAGUAUGGUAGAGGGUGGUGGAAUUUCCUGUGUAGCGGUGAAAUGCGUAGAUAUAGGAAGGAACACCAGUGGCGAAGGCGACCACCUGGACUGAUACUGACACUGAGGUGC
This 700-nucleotide ribosomal RNA is filed under the name Pseudomonas frederiksbergensis. RNAcentral's name for it is "bacterial SSU rRNA". It matches the Rfam family "Bacterial small subunit ribosomal RNA", at positions 61 to 754 of the family's 1533-position model. Lineage: Bacteria; Pseudomonadati; Pseudomonadota; Gammaproteobacteria; Pseudomonadales; Pseudomonadaceae. The record is from RNAcentral.